Molecule: long non-coding RNA, 1439 nt
Filed under: Androctonus crassicauda
Lineage: Eukaryota; Metazoa; Arthropoda; Arachnida; Scorpiones; Buthidae
Source: RNAcentral
GUUUGUGGUAAUUAAUUUUGUUAAAUUUCCUCUCAGUUUUUCUACCCAAGAUAAGAUUUUUCUUUUCUAUAUUGGUGGUUUUCCACAAUCUCAUCUUACUAUUGUUUUAACUAUGUUUUUUAGCUUUUACUGUAACCCAUAUAAGUUCUUUACUUUUUUAAUUUCUCCAUCAACUCUACUAGAUAUUAACCCUGUGCAAUCAAACCAUGCUUUUAAUCCUGUAAGUUAUAUGUGCAUUUCAGGAUUAUGUGAGGUAUAUACAAUUCUUUCCUGAAAAUGCUAAUGGUGUAUUCAUCUCCUCCUAUCUUGAUUUUAACAUCUAGGGAGUUCAUCUCCACCUCACUCAUUCUUUCCCAUUUUAAGAGUAGACCUGGCUACUAUCCAUUAACAAUCCUUCUUAAAUCAAGUUCUCUGGGUUCUUAUUGGUAACUACUAAGAUAUCAUCAAUGUAUCUUAUGUAUGUUUUUAGGGAAUUGCUCAGACUUGGAAGUCUUUCUCUUUCUUCCUCACUAUUAAUUCUGCAAAUACUCCUACCAUGGGGUUGCCUAUCUGCAGGCUUUAUAUUGUUCAUAGAAUAUGCCAUUAAAUCUAUAGUACAGUCUAUGUGCUAUCAGAUGGCACAGAUCUCUGAUAGCUUUAGAGAACACUUCUUCAUCUGAUACAAAAUGUAGGAGGAAUCUAUAGAUUUCAAUAUUUGCUGGCUCUAUAUAAAUUGAAGGGAAGAGAAGAAACAAAGUCAUUUUUUCAUUUGGCAAAGGACUAGCUUCACCUAGUAUCUCUAGAAACUCUUCUGGAGAUCUGAUGUUAACUCUACGGCAGAGGUGGCAACCCACUUGCCAAUAACCAUGUGUGGUGAUUUUGAUUUUAUCAUAUCUUUAUUUCUUUUCUUACUAAUAAUAAAAAUUAAUUCUUAUUAUGUUAAAAAUUGGAAAAAAGUAGGCAUUAUUCUUGUUGUCCAGCCGAACAAAUUAGAUUGUGUGAUAUUAAUGAAAUUGUGCAAUGAUUAUUGUAAUUUUUAGAAGGCGUGGCAAACAUUUGAACAUUUCAUUUGCCACACACGUGACAACUUUGAAAAAUAUGUUCCCCAGCUCUGCUCUAUGAUCUUUCAUCAUCAUGACACACCACUGAGUUAGUUUCUUCUCUAUUUCAUAAAUUAAUGAUCUUCUCUUUUUCUACAGUCGGUCUUAUUUGGACUGGGUUCUUAUACAUUUUCAUAUAUCUGAAAAGUCUGGGAUAUAUGUAACUAGUGCUUCUCAUUCUUCUUAUAAAAGGCUGAUAAAAACCAGUCAUUAGAUAAUUCUUCAAAUUCGGUUAUUCAUUGUUUAAAAAAUCACAUAAAUAUUUUUAGACAAUAAAUGUAUACAGUGUCAUAAUUAAAUUACUUCUAUUCAGCACUGUUUGUAGAAACAACUCUGGUCAAAAUUCGAUGAAUUUUGAUA